RNAcentral lists this long non-coding RNA (1687 nucleotides) under Lytechinus variegatus (green sea urchin). RNAcentral's name for it is "uncharacterized LOC121416284". The record is from RNAcentral. Lineage: Eukaryota; Metazoa; Echinodermata; Echinoidea; Temnopleuroida; Toxopneustidae.
AUGGGGUUGGGGCAAAAAUUGUGACAUCAGGGUCAAAAAAUAGAAAUGUAAUAAAUGAAAUGUUUUAUUUCUUAUAUGUUUCAUGGGACAAUCCUUCAACUAAAUCCACUUACAGGCAUUUCAUACCACCCUGCAUAUUGGAGUAAACUGAGAAAUAAGAUUUGACAAAAUACCACCGUUACAUGGACAUCAUUUAUCAUCCUUACUAAGACUAUGCUCUCCCACUGUCAAAAUAAAGGGGUUGAUCUCCAUUACUCUUGAUAAAUAUUUUGCUAACAACAUUGUUAGUCAUUUUAUUCCACACUUUUCAACAUGGCAUAUAUAUUUUGAAAGAUUUAGCAUCAAUAAAUGGAACUUGAUGCUCUGUGUGUAUACCAGUGCCAUGUUCUGUGUCGUUCUUUUUUCUCACCAGUCUAGAAAAUUGAAUUUAUGAUGGCAUGUAGAACUAAAUAGUUGAGAGAAGUCAUGCCUCAACAGAAUGGAAUAUUCUCUUUGGAAAAAGUAAACUACUCUUUCUGGCAUAACCUUCUAUUUUUGGUGUUACCACCGUUACAUGGACAUCAUGUCUCAGUAACAGAGGUAUACUUAGAAGCAAUGUUAAGUUAAUGUCCAUUAAUGGCCAUUACACACCAAAUUCCACUUCAUGCCUUAGAAUAUUUGCACAAGAUCAAUUGAUUACACUAAAGAAAAACAUUUUGCAUGUCAAAUUCUUUGCAAACAAAAGCAAAUUAAAUUAGAGUUUAAACAAGGAAAAAUGUACAAAAUUAUUGACAAAUUAUAUUUAAAAUCAUACUACGAUAAUCCUCAAGUUUCCACUUCCGUCUACCUCUGGAAACAUUUACGUUUCUGCCUAAAUGGAAAAAACAAAACAGUGCUAUCUUAUGAUCUCCAAUUCUUUUUACUUUAAAAUAACUCCUUCAAGAUAUUACUUUCAAAUGUACAUACCACCGUUACAUGGACAUCAUGUCUCAGUAACAGAGGUAUACUUUGAAGCAUUGCUAAGUUAAGGUCCAUUAAUGGCCAUUAAACACCAAAUUCCACUUCAUGCCCUAGAAUAUUUGCACAAGAUCAAUUGAUUAUACUAAAAAACAUUUUUCAUGUCAAAUUCUUUGCAAAUAAAAGCAAUUUAAAUUAGAGUUUAAACAAGGAAAAAUGUACAAAAUUAUUGAUAAAUUUAUAUUUAAAAUAAUACUAAGGUAAUCCUCAAGGUUCCACUUCCGUCUAUCUCUGGAAACAAAUGUUUCUGUCUAAAGCGGAAAAAAACAAAAGAGUGCUAGCUUAUGAUCUCCAAAUCUUUAUUACUUUAAAAUAUCUCCUUCACGGUAUUACUUUCAAAUGUACAUACCUCCGUUACAUGGACAUCAUGUCCUUGUAAUGAUCAUAUUGAAUAGUAUUACAUGUACUUGCCAUUCUUUUAGUAUCAACACACUAAUGCGAGUUAACUCAUCUUACUCAAGUGUAGAAAUACAACAUCUACAGGCAAGCUUCUAAAAUGCAUCAAUGAACAGGUUACAAGUUUAUGAACUUCAAGAUGAUCGGUGACCCAAUGACAACUGUGUGGAAGAGGACUAUGUCAAUGUCACAAAAUAGAUAGAGGUAGAAUUGUGCCUCGCCAUCAGGCCAGGAGUACAGGUCACCAGAUUGACACUUCAUGUACUGAAGAUAUACAUUUUUACCUUCAACAGAG